UACGUAGGUGGCAAGCGUUGUCCGGAAUUAUUGGGCGUAAAGCGCGCGCAGGUGGUUUCUUAAGUCUGAUGUGAAAGCCCACGGCUCAACCGUGGAGGGUCAUUGGAAACUGGGGAACUUGAGUGCAGGAGAGAAGAGUGGAAUUCCACGUGUAGCGGUGAAAUGCGUAGAGAUGUGGAGGAACACCAGUGGCGAAGGCGGGUCUCUGGGCAGUAACUGACGCUGAGGAGCGAAAGCGUGGGGAGCGAACAGG
This 253-nucleotide ribosomal RNA is filed under the name uncultured bacterium. RNAcentral's name for it is "partial 16S ribosomal RNA". It matches the Rfam family "Bacterial small subunit ribosomal RNA", at positions 524 to 776 of the family's 1533-position model. The record is from RNAcentral.